This is a long non-coding RNA of Ipomoea nil (Japanese morning glory), 114 nucleotides long. RefSeq lists it as uncharacterized. The record is from RefSeq and is a predicted model, not a curated record. NCBI's taxonomy places the organism in Eukaryota, Viridiplantae, Streptophyta, Magnoliopsida, Solanales, Convolvulaceae. The transcript is spliced from 3 exons.
UUAGAAGUUUUGGCCUUGGAAUUGUUGUAUUUGAUGAUUUUUGGAUGUUUGGAUCGAGUGGUAGCCAGAAACUUUGCACCCAAGAUUUGUUAUAGUGGAGUUGUUAGUUGUUGG